Molecule: ribosomal RNA, 1968 nt
Filed under: gut metagenome
Description: bacterial LSU rRNA
Rfam family: Bacterial large subunit ribosomal RNA
Source: RNAcentral
UCAAGCUAAAAAGAGCGCAGGGUGGAUGCCUUGGCACUAAGAGCCGAUGAAAGACGUGAUAAGCUGCGAUAAGCUACGGGGAGGAGCACAUAUCCAUUGAUCCGUAGAUUUCUGAAUGGGGAAACCCGGCUGAGCAUACCUCAGUCACCGUACACUGAAUCCAUAGGUGUACGGAGGGAACCCGGUGAACUGAAACAUCUAAGUAGCCGGAGGAAGAGAAAGAAAACUCGAUUUUCAAAGUAGCGGCGAGCGAAAUGGAAAGAGCCCAAACCGGAGUGCGUGCACUCCGGGGUUCGGACUGCAUUUAUGACUUCUGACUGUAGCGGAACGGUUCUGGAAAGACCGGCCAGAGAGGGUGAGAGCCCCGUAGGCGAAACGGAAAGAAGCAGAGCAGGAUCCAGAGUACCACGAGACACGAGAAACCUUGUGGGAAUGAGCGGGGACCACCCCGUAAGGCUAAAUACUCCUUAGUGACCGAUAGAGCAGAGUACUGUGAAGGAAAGGUGAAAAGGACCCCGGGAGGGGAGUGAAAGAGAACCUGAAACCCUGUGUUUACAAACUGUGGAAGUACCAUACGAGUACAACCGCGUACUUUUUGUAGAACGGUCCGGCGAGUUACGUUUACUGGCAAGGUUAAGCACUUAAGGUGCGGAGCCGAAGGGAUACCAAGUCUUAACAGGGCGCAUAGCUUCUUACGAAGCAUUAGUCAGUGUACGUAGACCCGAAACCGGGUGAUCUACCCAUGUCCAGGCUGAAGUUGCCGUAAAAGGCAAUGGAGGGCCGAACGCACAUCCGUUGAAAAGGGUGGCGAUGAGGUGUGGGUAGGGGAGAAAUUCCAAUCGAACCCGGAGAUAGCUGGUUCUCCUCGAAAUAGCUUUAGGGCUAGCCUCGUGUUAACCUUGUGGAGGUAGAGCACUGAAUAUCCUAGGGGGCGUCAAAGUCUACCGAAGAUUAUCAAACUCCGAAUGCCAUAGAGGUGAUGCACGGGAGUCAGACUGCACGAGAUAAGUUGGGUGGUCAAAAGGGAAAGAGCCCAGACCUACAGCUAAGGUCCCAAAGUGCGUGUUAAGUGGAAAAGGAUGUGGGAUUUCGAAGACAACUAGGAUGUUGGCUCAGAAGCAGCCAUACAUUCAAAGAGUGCGUAAUAGCUCACUAGUCGAGAGGUCCUGCGCCGAAAAUGUCCGGGGCUGAAACACGACACCGAAGCUUAGGACUCCUUUUAGGAGUGGUAGAGGAGCAUUGUUAGCGCAGCGAAGCUGUACCGAUAAGGAGCAGUGGAGUGCUAAGAAGAGAGAAUGCCGGAAUGAGUAGCGAGAGGAAGGUGAGAAUCCUUCCGGCCGAAUAUCCAAGGUUUCCAGAGUAAAGCUGAUCUGCUCUGGGUAAGUCGGGGCCUAAGGCGAGGUCGAAAGACGUAGUCGAUGGAUAACAGGUGGAGAUUCCUGUACUAUGUGUACCCAGAACUGUGGGGACGCAUGUGGAGAGCAUGAGCCGGGAAAGAGAAAACCGGUACAAGCGGGGUAGGAGUAAGGACAGCAAAUCUUCCUUACAAUCCGAAGACGUGAUGUGGACCGAACCAAAGUAGGGAAGCAUGUGAGCCAUGUGCCAAGAAAAGCCGCUAUUGUGAUACACAUACCCGUACCGUAAACCGACACAGGUGGAUGAGGAGAGAAUCCUAAGGCCGACGGAAGAAGCAUUGUUAAGGAACUCGGCAAAAUGACCCCGUAACUUCGGGAGAAGGGGUGCCCUGUGAAAGCAGGGCCGCAGAGAAUAGGCUCAAGCAACUGUUUAGCAAAAACACAGGUCUAUGCGAAACCGAAAGGUGAGGUAUAUGGGCUGACGCCUGCCCGGUGCUGGAAGGUUAAGAGGAGAAGUCAGGCAACGAAGCUUCGAAUUUAAGCCCCAGUAAACGGCGGCCGUAACUAUAACGGUCCUAAGGUAGCGAAAUUCCUUGUCGGGUAAGUUCCGACC